Molecule: ribosomal RNA, 253 nt
Filed under: uncultured bacterium
Lineage: Bacteria
Description: partial 16S ribosomal RNA
Rfam family: Bacterial small subunit ribosomal RNA
Source: RNAcentral
UCCGAAGGGUGCAAACGUUGCUCGGAAUCAUUGGGCGUAAAGCGCACGUAGGCGGCUUCAAAAGUCGGAUGUGAAAUCCCUGGGCUCAACCGAGGAAGUGCAUCCGAAACUGCGGAGCUUGAGUAUGGAAGAGGGUCGCGGAAUUCCCGGUGUAGAGGUGAAAUUCGUAGAUAUCGGGAGGAACACCAGUGGCGAAGGCGGCGACCUGGGCCAAUACUGACGCUGAGGUGCGAAAGCGUGGGGAGCAAACAGG